UAAGCAUAUCAAUAAGCGGAGGAAAAGAAACUAACAAGGAUUCCCCUAGUAACUGCGAGUGAAGCGGGAAAAGCUCAAAUUUAAAAUCUGGCGGUCUUUGGCCGUCCGAGUUGUAAUCUAGAGAAGCGUCUUCCGUGCCGGACCGUGUACAAAUCUCUUGGAACAGAGUAUCAUAGAGGGUGAGAAUCCCGUCUUUGACAUGGACUACCGGUGCUUUGUGAUGCGCUCUCAAAGAGUCGCGUUGUUUGGGAAUGCAGCGCAAAAUGGGUGGUGAAUUCCAUCUAAAGCUAAAUAUUGGCGAGAGACCGAUAGCGAACAAGUACCGUGAGGGAAAGAUGAAAAGCACUUUGGAAAGAGAGUUAAACAGUACGUGAAAUUGUUGAAAGGGAAACGCUUGAAGUCAGUCGCGUCURGCGGAACUCAGCCUUGCUUUUGCUUGGUGCACUUUCCGUUUGACGGGCCAGCAUCGAUUUUGACCGCUGGAUAAAGUUCARRGGAAUGUGGCACCYUCGGGUGUGUUAUAGCCUUUGUUCGCAUACAGCGGUUGGGAUCGAGGUUCGCAGCACGCCUUUUGGCCGGGGUUCGCCCACGUACGUGCUUAGGAUGCUGGCGUAAUGGCUUUAAACGAC
Molecule: ribosomal RNA, 629 nt
Filed under: Vuilleminia comedens
Lineage: Eukaryota; Fungi; Basidiomycota; Agaricomycetes; Corticiales; Vuilleminiaceae
Description: eukaryotic LSU rRNA
Rfam family: Eukaryotic large subunit ribosomal RNA
Source: RNAcentral